This 835-nucleotide long non-coding RNA is filed under the name Androctonus crassicauda. Lineage: Eukaryota; Metazoa; Arthropoda; Arachnida; Scorpiones; Buthidae. The record is from RNAcentral.
UAUCGUUACAUUUCUAUAGUAACCGUAACUUAAGUAUUAAACAAAUAAAUAUAAAUAUAAAAAUAUACGGUAUAAUAAUUGAUGAAUAACUAGUAAAUAGCGCGACAUAACAUAAAAAUGCAAAGUUGGUGUGCUUCAUUAGUUAUUAAGGAUUCCUUACACCAGUGAUCAUUCCCAUGCGGGUGAGUGCAUACGUGUUUCGUUCUUCGUGUUGUUUCAGGUCACGUUUUUUCUUCAUGGUAUCAUUUCAUUUAACAAAUACUUCCAUGGAUGUGGGAGCUCUUGGGUUGGGUGGCUGUUGAGGAGUUUUUGCUUCUUUUCACUCAUGUGCAUUUCCAUGGCCUCAGCAAGGGUGGCAUGUUUUUCUUUCGCCAAGGAUCUAACUAUUUUCACUGCUUCCCAAUCUACCAAUAUGUCUUUUUCGUAGGCUGUGAGUGCUAAUGCUGUAGGGUUCUUUUUCUCUCUAAGUCCCUUCUAUGUUCUAUGAGUCUUUGGUUUAGCGAUCUCAUGGUGACCCCUAUAUAGACACUUUCUUCAUGGGUGGUAUUGUCUUUCACGGGUAUUUUAUAUACUCCCGCUUUUCGUUCAGGUUUCAUUUCAUCCUUCUCAUUACGCAGUUGAUUGUACAGUGUGGGGUACCUUCUGUAGGUAAUUUUUUUGUUCACUUUAUGUGCUGCUUUCUUGAUUGCUUUAGAUGCUUUCAUCGCAUAAGGUAUGGUUUCAUAUUCUGCGGCUUCUUUUGGCAUGGCGGUUUUGUUUGCGGUGUAAGGAAUCCUUAACAACUAAUGAAGCACACCAACUUUGCAUUUUUAUGUUAUGUCGCACUAUUUACUAG